AGAGUUUGAUCCUGGCUCAGAACGAACGCUGGCGGCGUGGAUAAGACAUGCAAGUCGAGCGAGAUUUUUCGUUGUAGCAAUACGAUGGAAAGUCUAGCGGCGAACGGGUGCUUAACACGUGGGCAACCUGCCAUGAAGUGGGGGAUAGCUCGCCGAAAGGCGAAUUAAUACCGCAUGUGAUUAGAGAGGACAUCCUUUCGAAAUUAAAGUCGGGGCAACCUGACGCUUCUUGUGGGGCCCGCGGCCUAUCAGCUAGUUGGUGAGGUAACGGCUCACCAAGGCUUUGACGGGUAGCUGGUCUGAGAGGACGACCAGCCACACUGGGACUGAGACACGGCCCAGACACCUACGGGUGGCAGCAGUCGAGAAUUUUUGACAAUGGGGGAAACCCUGAUCGAGCGACGCCGCGUGGAGGAUGAAGGUCUUCGGAUUGUAAACUCCUGUCAUUGGGGAACAAGGUGCAUACGUUAACUGCGUGUGUAUUGAUAGUACCCGAAGAGGAAGGGACGGCUAACUCUGUGCCAGCAGCCGCGGUAAUACAGAGGUCUCAAGCGUUGUUCGGAUUCAUUGGGCGUAAAGGGUGCGUAGGCGGCGCGGUAAGUCGGGUGUGAAAUCUCGGAGCUUAACUCCGAAACUGCAUUCGAUACUGCCGUGCUUGAGGACUGGAGAGGAGACUGGAAUUUACGGUGUAGCGGUGAAAUGCGUAGAUAUCGUAAGGAAGACCAGUGGCGAAGGCGGGUCUCUGGACAGUUCCUGACGCUGAGGCACGAAGGUCAGGGGAGCAAACGGGAUUAGAUACCCUAGUAGUCC
Molecule: ribosomal RNA, 810 nt
Filed under: uncultured bacterium
Lineage: Bacteria
Description: bacterial SSU rRNA
Rfam family: Bacterial small subunit ribosomal RNA
Source: RNAcentral